GGGUGGCGGAGGCCCGGCGGCCUGGCAGGUUCAUUUACGCUUGUUAGGACGUCCCGGGGGGUUGUCUUUCUCCCAGAACGGAGUGUUUAUUUUUUAAUUGAUGUGCUGUUUCAUUUAGCGCUUGUAUGGAACUCAUGCUGGGGCUGUAAUUACUGUAAUCUCGGGAACAAGCGUUUCCGUGAGCCAGGAGGGUGGCACCAGCCUCCCCCUCUCCCUCCUCUGUCCCCCCCCCCCCCCCGCUCUAGCCCCUCCGCCCUCCUUUCUCUCACUCUCUUUUUCUCUUUCGGUUCCCUGAUUUUUGCUCUUUGUCACGAUUCACGCCAGGAACAAGUAGAAGCAGAGAACACAAGCUGCCAGGGCGUGGGGACAGAGAGUGAACUCUGUUAAAGAUCUUCCUCCUCUACUUUCUGGCCCAUCAAGAGAAGGAUCCUGUAGGAGGGACAUACAUGGCUCUGUCUGCUGAAACAAGGCCAGCAUGCAAAUGUGAAGGUGCUGAACACACAGAUGGGGUGGACUGGCUGGACAUACCGGACUCCCCUGACCUGGCUCAGUGAUCUCCACUUCAGGACUCCACUGCAUCUAUGCUUAGGAACUGUGAUAAACACUGCCCUUGGAUGUUUUCACUGGCUACUCCCACAUUUCCAUUGCAAUACCAGACUCUGGGCUCUAAAUCAGUUCCUUCUUUCAUCUCCCCUCUCAUCUCUUUACUCACCUGGUAACAGCAUCCUGCUUGUAAGGGAUCUUGGUUGGGCAGCUCCAGAAGGAGCCCUGUCUCCCCUUAAACUUUUUCAAAAGCACUCCGCCCAACACAACCAGCACAUUCUAAUUCAGGGAUCCAAAAAAACCACUGGGCCCUGUCUUAGGCCCAUGCCCUGACCCUGUCCCCCACCUCCUACCUCUGUUCCCAAACCACUUAGCAUGUCAGACCAUCUCCGUCUCUUUCCUGCUGAUUUCAAUCCAGUUACCUUAUUCUGUUCUGAUUCAUUUGUUCAUGGCUUCUUUCACCCCUGAGAUAUUUGUUAAUCUCCCACAAGGUACACAAUACGCUGCUAAGUUCCCUGAGAGUGGAGGGGGGAAAGUUAGCUCAUCUUUCCACAAGGAAUUUGUAGUCUAG
RNAcentral lists this long non-coding RNA (1114 nucleotides) under Heterocephalus glaber (naked mole-rat). RNAcentral's name for it is "lncRNA (ENSHGLG00100035909.1)". Lineage: Eukaryota; Metazoa; Chordata; Mammalia; Rodentia; Bathyergidae. The record is from RNAcentral.